CCUACGGGAGGCAGCAGUGAGGAAUAUUGCGCAAUGGGGGCAACCCUGACGCAGCGACGCCGCGUGAGUGAGGAAGGUCUUCGGAUCGUAAAGCUCUGUCAAGAGGGAAGAAGUGCAAGGCAGCGAAUAACUGUUUUGUUUGACGGUACCUCUAAAGGAAGCACCGGCUAACUCCGUGCCAGCAGCCGCGGUAAUACGGAGGGUGCGAGCGUUGUUCGGAAUCACUGGGCGUAAAGGGCGCGCAGGCGGGCUGUCAAGUCAGAUGUGAAAUCCCACGGCUUAACUGUGGACGUGCAUUUGAAACUGGCAGUCUUGAGUACCAGAGGGGAAUGUGGAAUUCCCGGUGUAGAGGUGAAAUUCGUAGAUAUCGGGAGGAAUACCGGUGGCGAAGGCGACAUUCUGGCUGGAUACUGACGCUGAGGCGCGAAAGCGUGGGGAGCAAACAGGAUUAGAUACCCUUGUAGUC
RNAcentral lists this ribosomal RNA (466 nucleotides) under uncultured Desulfobulbus sp. Its description in RNAcentral is "bacterial SSU rRNA". It matches the Rfam family "Bacterial small subunit ribosomal RNA", at positions 338 to 795 of the family's 1533-position model. The record is from RNAcentral. Lineage: Bacteria; Pseudomonadati; Thermodesulfobacteriota; Desulfobulbia; Desulfobulbales; Desulfobulbaceae.